AGGAGAGUUUGAUCCUGGCUCAGGAUGAACGCUAGCGACAGGCUUAACACAUGCAAGUCGAGGGGCAGCGUGGGAGGUGGCAACACCACCCGACGGCGACCGGCGCACUGGUGAGUAACACGUAUGCAACCUGCCCCCUACAGGGGAAUAACCCAGAGAAAUUUGGCCUAAUGCCCCGUAGUCCGCGGCGCGGCAUCGCGCUGCGGGGAAAGACGAGUCGGUAGGGGAUGGGCAUGCGGCGCAUUAGCUGGUUGGCGGGGCAACGGCCCACCAAGGCUACGAUGCGUAGGGGUUCUGAGAGGAAGGUCCCCCACACUGGUACUGAGACACGGACCAGACUCCUACGGGAGGCAGCAGUGAGGAAUAUUGGUCAAUGGGCGGGAGCCUGAACCAGCCAAGUCGCGUGCGGGAAGACGGCCCUACGGGUUGUAAACCGCUUUAGCCGGGGAGUAACGUGCGGCACGUGUGCCGCAGUGAGAGUACCCGGAGAAUAAGCAUCGGCUAACUCCGUGCCAGCAGCCGCGGUAAUACGGAGGAUGCGAGCGUUAUCCGGAUUCAUUGGGUUUAAAGGGUGCGCAGGCGGCGCUCCAAGUCAGCGGUCAAAUCCAUGGGCUCAACCCGUGGCCGCCGUUGAUACUGGAGUGCUUGAGUAGGUGCGACGGAGGCGGAAUGCGUGGUGUAGCGGUGAAAUGCAUAGAUAUCACGCAGAACCCCGAUUGCGAAGGCAGCCUCCGAGCCCCCGACUGACGCUGAGGCACGAAAGCGUGGGUAUCGAACAGGAUUAGAUACCCUGGUAGUCCCCU
This 803-nucleotide ribosomal RNA is filed under the name uncultured Bacteroidota bacterium. Its description in RNAcentral is "bacterial SSU rRNA". It matches the Rfam family "Bacterial small subunit ribosomal RNA", at positions 1 to 799 of the family's 1533-position model. Lineage: Bacteria; Pseudomonadati; Bacteroidota. The record is from RNAcentral.